Molecule: non-coding RNA, 302 nt
Organism: Camellia sinensis
Lineage: Eukaryota; Viridiplantae; Streptophyta; Magnoliopsida; Ericales; Theaceae
Source: RefSeq, a predicted model, not a curated record
UCUUUUCCUGUCAUCAAAAUGAACUAGUGCAUAUUUAGUAUGUUAAUUUUGUAGGCAACUUUUUUACAAAUGAAAGAGGCAGAGAAUACAAGACAACGUGAGGAGAUGCAGCGGCAGCUUUUUGGACUUCAGAGCAUGUUGGCGCAAGUUUUGGAAAAUCACAAUCCACCAAAUUCUCGACAAUAGAUAGUCAUGGUAAUUGGUAAGUGUGUUAAACCAUAUUUGAUUAUAUUUAUGUUCAAAGUAAAGGCAAAUAAACGUUUGAUGAGAAUAUCAUAGAGAAAUGAUUGUCUUUAAACUAA